GCAAGUCGAACGAUCUCUUCGGAGAUAGUGGCAGACGGGUGAGUAACGCGUGGGAAUCUGCCCUCAGGAGGGGGAUAACGGCUGGAAACGGCCGCUAAUACCCCAUAUGCCGAGAGGUGAAAUGAAUUUCGCCUGAGGAUGAGCCCGCGUCUGAUUAGCUAGUUGGUGGGGUAAAGGCCUACCAAGGCGACGAUCAGUAGCUGGUCUGAGAGGAUGAUC
Molecule: ribosomal RNA, 219 nt
Filed under: uncultured bacterium
Lineage: Bacteria
Description: partial 16S ribosomal RNA
Rfam family: Bacterial small subunit ribosomal RNA
Source: RNAcentral